Molecule: ribosomal RNA, 468 nt
Filed under: uncultured bacterium
Lineage: Bacteria
Description: partial 16S ribosomal RNA
Rfam family: Bacterial small subunit ribosomal RNA
Source: RNAcentral
GACGAACGCUGGCGGCGUGCUUAACACAUGCAAGUCGAACGGAAAGGCCCUGCUUUUGUGGGGUGCUCGAGUGGCGAACGGGUGAGUAACACGUGAGUAACCUGCCCUUGACUUUGGGAUAACUUCAGGAAACUGGGGCUAAUACCGGAUAGGAGCUCCUGCUGCAUGGUGGGGGUUGGAAAGUUUCGGCGGUUGGGGAUGGACUCGCGGCUUAUCAGCUUGUUGGUGGGGUAGUGGCUUACCAAGGCUUUGACGGGUAGCCGGCCUGAGAGGGUGACCGGCCACAUGAGGACUGAGAUACGGCCCAGACUCCUACGGGAGGCAGCAGUGGGGAAUAUUGCACAAUGGGCGGAAGCCUGAUGCAGCAACGCCGCGUGCGGGAUGACGGCCUUCGGGUUGUAAACCGCUUUCGCCUGUGACGAAGCGUGAGUGACGGUAAUGGGUAAAGAAGCACCGGCUAACUACGUG